AGUUUGAUCCUGGUCAGAUUGAACGCUGGAGGGAUGCUUACAUGCAAGUCGAACGGCAGCACGGACUUCGGUCUGGCGAGUGGCGAACGGGUGAGUAAUGUAUCGGAACGUGCCUAGUAGCGGGGAUAAUCCAGCGAAAGGUAGCGCUAAUACCGCAUACGCCCUUCGGGGGGAAAGCGGGGGACCUUUCGGGCCUCGCACUAUUAGAAUGGGCCGAUGUCGGUUUAGCUAGUUGGUGGGGUAACGGCUCACCAAGGCGACGAUCCGUAGCUGGUUUGAGAGGACGACCAGCCACACUGGGACUGGAGACACGGCCCAGACUCCUACGGGAGGCAGCAGUGGGGAAUUUUGGACAAUGGGGGAAACCCUGAUCCAGCCAUCCCGCGUGUGCGAUGAAGGCCUUCGUGGCCAAAGCACUUUUGGCAGAAGAAACGCACGGGAUAAUACCCCGUGCAACUGACGGUACCAAGAAUAAGCACCGGCUAAUCACGUGCCAGCAGCCGCGGUAAUACGUAUAGGUGCAAGCGUUAAUCGGAAUUACUGGGCGUAAAGCGUGCGCAGCGGUUCGGAAAGAAAGAUGUGAAAUCCCAGAGCUUAACGGAACUGCAUUUCUUAACUACCGAGCUAGAGUGUGUGUCAGGAGGGAGGUGGAAUUCCGCGUGUAGCAGUGAUAAAAUGCGUAGAUAUGCGGAGGAACAAUUUACGGCGAAGGCAGCCUCCUGGGAUAACACUGACGCUCAUGCACGAAAGCGUGGGGAGCAAACAGGAUUAGAUACCUGGCAGUCCACGCCUAAACGAUGUCAACUAGCUGUUGGGGCCUUCGGGCCUUGGUAGCGCAACUAACGCGUGAAGUUGACCGCCUGGGGAGUACGGUCGCAAGAUUAAAACUCAAAGGAAUUGGAUGACCCGCACAAGCGGUGGAUGAUGUAGAUUAAUUCGAUGCAACGCGAAAAACCUUACCUACCCUUGACACGUCUGGAAUCCCGAAGAGAUCAGAGUGCUCGCAAGAGAACCGGAACACAGGUGCUGCAUGGCUGUCGCCGCUCGCCGUGAGAUGUUGGGUUAAGUUCCGCAACGAGCGCAACCCUUGCCACAGUUAAGCAUGAAAGGGCCAAUUUCAAUGAGACUGCCGGUGACAAACCGGAGGAAGGUGGGGAUGACGUCAAGUCCUCAUGGCCCUUAUGGGUAGGGCUUCACACGUCAUACAAUGGUCGGGACAGAGGGUCGCUAACCCGCGAGGGGAGCCAAUCCCAGAAACCUGAUCGGGGUCCGGAUCGCAGUCUGCAACCGACUGCGAAGUCGCAAUCGCUAGUAAUCGCGGAUCAGCAUGUCGCGGUGAAUACGUUCCCGGGUCUGCACACACCGCCCGUCACACCAUGGGAGUGGGUUUACCUAGGAAGUAGUUAGCCCAACCGGGUAAGGAGGGCGCGAUUACCACGGUAGGAUUCAUGACUGGGGUAAGUCGUAACAAGGUAA
This 1476-nucleotide ribosomal RNA is filed under the name uncultured Bordetella sp. Its description in RNAcentral is "partial 16S-23S ribosomal RNA intergenic spacer". It matches the Rfam family "Bacterial small subunit ribosomal RNA". The record is from RNAcentral. Lineage: Bacteria; Pseudomonadati; Pseudomonadota; Betaproteobacteria; Burkholderiales; Alcaligenaceae.